UUAUUAUUUAAAAUUCAAAAUUGGUUUUAUAAAAAUGAGUAAAAGUCACGAAUUCGAUGGUUUCGAUAAGCAAUAGUUGCUACCUAUCCCAAAUUACCAGAUCUAGUUAAGGUUGAUGAGAAUAUUUCAUAGUGACAAGACAUAUUAAUUCGUGCUCAGACAAUAUGCAAACAUCCUAUUGUUAAGUCAGAGGGUGUGUUAAAUUCUAUCAGGGAACAACAAUGAAAUAUCACUAAGGUAGACGUGAAAAAUGCUUCCAUCAAAAAUUUCGUAGAACCUCUCCAUUGGAGAUCAAAAACGACUAUUAAGCGAAUCUAUAGAAUAUGUUUUUAACCGGGUGUGGACAAAGUGAGAAUUCAGUUAAAGCCUACACCUAAUAAUUCUGUCUAAUUAAACGCAAUCGUUUUUCACCCAACCUAAAACACAGCAUAACUGCACAAUAGGUGACUAAUGGGUAUACGUGACUAUACGGAAACGGCACCAGUGUUGAAACUGAGGAGCUGGAGGUGAGACGGGGUCAUUGACGCUAGAGACUUAGCAGGAAUGAUGGGACGAAAUAAGAGGCUACUGCAGCUCUGUGGGCGUACCGCAAUACGAGGCGGUGAUUUGUACUCUACUCAAGGCCGCUAAGUUUAAAAUCUUGCAACUGCAAUAUUGCCGACAUUUAACAGUUCUGGUAAUGAUGUCCAUGAUUGCCAUCCUACCCAAAUGAUACUGCCAUUUUCUGCAAGAAUUUCGUCAGCCUGUGAUACCUCAGUCAGGAUCUCUCUCUGUCUCUCUCCCUCUUUCUCUCUUCUAAAGAGAGUUAUCAUCUUGAAUAGUCCAAUUACUCGCGUAUCAACUCUUCCCUCCAACUACUACCUGUUUAGGUAUCUUGCCUAUUUACCGGCCAUUUCGCUUUAUAUCAUAUUACAAAGCCAUUUUUUCAAUAAACUAUGAAUAAAAAAUAUCUAUA
This 955-nucleotide long non-coding RNA is filed under the name Androctonus crassicauda. Lineage: Eukaryota; Metazoa; Arthropoda; Arachnida; Scorpiones; Buthidae. The record is from RNAcentral.